AAUUAAUCCUGGCAGUAGUGCUAAUUGCAAUAGAUUUACACCCUUUCACUGCAAUGUGGGAGGCAAAGGGAAAGCUGCUUAGCUGCAUCCUCAUGGAUGCACACUGACAUUUGCAGUCUGUUGCCAUGGUCGCCCUGGGACUUUUGUUUUGAAGUGGGAUUUUUUUUUUAUGCUUCUAUCAGAUGACGUCAUGGAUGUCCAUGGAUGUGACAGGCCACCUUUGGGUUGGAGGUUUAAAGAGACAGCCUCCAGCUGCAACACUAGCCCUGACUAUUGUCUGAGAUGCUGAUAUAAAGAUGGGGGGACAGUUCUUUCCCCAAGCUCAGUACCUAGGAAGCUCCCUUACUUAGCACUGCCUUGAUGUGAAGAGAGAGGGUAGCAUGUCACAGUUAAGCAGAUGUCAGCUUACAGCAGAACAUAUCUAUCUGCACCUCCUCUUAUCACUCAGUAUCAAGUCAAAUCCUCCUUUCUUUAAGAAAAUCCAAGGCAGCCAAUAGAAGAAGAUCACUGCUGGAAGGCAAAGCUGCAUUUCCAAACUUUAAAGAAGGACACACAAAAAAAGAUCCUAACCAAAGCUGUAAGAUUUUUCUAGGCUCAAAGCAAAGAAACUUCCCUGAGAGAAUCGGCUAGCAAGAUCCUGAUGAGAGAAAGAGGAGCCUAAAACAUUUUUUAAGAUUCACAGGUGCUCCAUGAGCUACAGAAAGACUAUAAGGCACAGCCACACAAUAUCCUGAUCAUGACUGAUGAAAAGAACGUUGGAAAUGUAUGGAUCAAGAACAAUUGUAUCCCUGGCACCAUUGGUGGCCUGCUCCUGUCAUGCAGUCAAUUUAGACAUCUAGAAACAUAGUAUGUAAACCUUUAAAUGCAAACACAUCAUAUAUAUUAUUAGGUAUACCCACUGUACAGCACUACACUCAAUAACAUUAUAAUAUUUAUGGAACAUCAGCAGAGACAUUCCUGCUGUUGAGGUGUAUAUUUCAAAGAUG
Molecule: long non-coding RNA, 986 nt
Organism: Spea bombifrons (plains spadefoot toad)
Lineage: Eukaryota; Metazoa; Chordata; Amphibia; Anura; Pelobatidae
Exons: 3
Source: RefSeq, a predicted model, not a curated record